GCCUGGUUGGCUCAGAAGGUAGAGCAUGCGACUCUUGAUCUUGGGGUUGUGAGUUUGAGUCCCACAGUGGGUG
This 73-nucleotide transfer RNA is filed under the name Ailuropoda melanoleuca (giant panda). It matches the Rfam family "tRNA". Rfam says of the family: Transfer RNA (tRNA) molecules are approximately 80 nucleotides in length. Their secondary structure includes four short double-helical elements and three loops (D, anti-codon, and T loops). Further hydrogen bonds mediate the characteristic L-shaped molecular structure. tRNAs have two regions of fundamental functional importance: the anti-codon, which is responsible for specific mRNA codon recognition, and the 3' end, to which the tRNAs corresponding amino acid is attached (by aminoacyl-tRNA synthetases). tRNAs cope with the degeneracy of the genetic code in two manners: having more than one tRNA (with a specific anti-codon) for a particular amino acid; and 'wobble' base-pairing, i.e. permitting non-standard base-pairing at the 3rd anti-codon position. Lineage: Eukaryota; Metazoa; Chordata; Mammalia; Carnivora; Ursidae. The record is from Rfam by way of RNAcentral.